GCCAACGCUGCAAGAGUUGGUUGCUCUGCUCUAGCUCUGCUUGGGUUUCAGCGCUGUUUUACCUCUGCUCCGUCUCUGCUCCAAACGCAAACACAGCCUGAAGACCUUGUAGGACUGUAAGUACUGUAGGAUUAAUCAGGACAAACCAAUAAUCAAAAUGGUAUGAAAAAGAGGCUCGCGCUGUCAUGAUUUUCACACACAGCUGCAGACAGACACACACACACAUUGGGAAAUAAUGAGUGUAUCGGAAAAGUGAAAUAAAAUAAAAUAAAAUGAUAGGCAAACAGCAACUGGCAAAAGUGAUUAUAUAAAAGCCGUUACCAGCAAAGCCGCGAGCAAAAAAUAAAAAAAAAAUGUUGGAAAAAGGGGAGAAAAAAAGAAAAAAGAAAGACCCAAAGAAAAAACCGAGAAUAAUGCCAAAGAACGAUUUCGAUUUAUCAGCAAAAAAAAAAAAACAGAAGAAACGGUUGGAGAGGGAGAAAAUACGCGUUUUUAUCUCACUGCUCAAUUGAUUUACAUAAUCAACGAAAUCGCCUUUUAUUUCGCUGCCCCUCCGGCAAUCCUCGCCCCACAUACACGACAGCGCCAACCCCUUUUGCCCGAUUCUCUGUGCAUUUAAUUAAAUGCUGAUUAAGUUUUAUUCAAUGGAGCACACAGAUACACAUACAGAUACACAGAGCGACCGCCCCACACAGAGAGUUGUGGGAUAUACAAUAGUACAAUGGGAUGGGGAUAGUACGUAUACGUACAGUAUGCCAGUAUACAGAAUACGAGCCGAUGGUGAUGUGUGGCCCGUGCAUAGAUUCGUAGAUUAGUCAUUGAUAUUGGACAACGUGCUCGCAUCGAGGAAGGAGGAGUCCGGUUCGGCGCAUUUGUAAACGUGAAUAAUUUAAUAACGUUCUCAUUAAGAUAAUGAAAUUAGUUCAAAUAGUCAACGCUCAACGGCGGCCAGCAACGGUCAGAUAAUACAGCUGCAUGCCAAUACACUUUGAUUGGAAUGGCUUUUUGCAUAUAUAUAUACAUACGAG
Long non-coding RNA from Drosophila obscura, 1028 nucleotides. RefSeq lists it as uncharacterized. NCBI's taxonomy places the organism in Eukaryota, Metazoa, Arthropoda, Insecta, Diptera, Drosophilidae. The record is from RefSeq and is a predicted model, not a curated record. The transcript has 3 exons.